GUCCUUUAGAUAUUAAUUUAAGGUCUAACCUGCCCACUGAAUUAUUUUUAAAUGGCCGCAGUAAUUUGACUGUGCAAAGGUAGCAUAAUCAUUAGUUUUUUAAUUAAAAGCUUGUAUGAAAGGUUGGACGAAGUAAAAUCUGUCUCUAAUUAAAUUAAUUUAGAAUUUAACUUUUAAGUUAAAAGGCUUAAAUUUAACUAAAAGACGAGAAGACCCUAUAGAUCUUUAUAUCUUAAUUAUUAAAUUUAAUUAUGGAUUUUUUAAAUUUUAUUAGUAAAGUUAUUUUAUUGGGGUAAUAUAAAGAUUAAAAUAAUUCUUUUUUUUUAUUUACAUUAAUUUAUGAGUUUUAUGAUCCAAUUUUAUUGAUUAAAAGAUUAAGUUACCUUAGGGAUAACAGCGUAAUUUUUUUAGAGAGUUCUUAUCGAUAAAAAAGUUUGCGACCUCGAUGUUGGAUUAAAGAUUAUUUUAGGUGCAGAAGUUUAAAAAUUUUGGUCUGUUCGACCAUUAAAUCUUUACAUGAUCUGAGUUCAGACCGGUGUAAGCCAGGUCGGUUUCUAUCUUUAGUAAAUUAAAAUAUUUUAGUACGAAAGGACCAAUUAUUUAAUAUAUUAAUAUUUAUAAUUUUUGUUUAUUAUUAAA
This 639-nucleotide ribosomal RNA is filed under the name Nebria roddi. RNAcentral's name for it is "partial large subunit ribosomal RNA". The stretch from base 390 to 549 matches the Rfam family "Bacterial large subunit ribosomal RNA", at positions 2473 to 2632 of the family's 2925-position model. Lineage: Eukaryota; Metazoa; Arthropoda; Insecta; Coleoptera; Carabidae. The record is from RNAcentral.